This 468-nucleotide ribosomal RNA is filed under the name uncultured bacterium. RNAcentral's name for it is "partial 16S ribosomal RNA". It matches the Rfam family "Bacterial small subunit ribosomal RNA", at positions 28 to 507 of the family's 1533-position model. The record is from RNAcentral.
GAUGAACGCUGGCGGCGUGCUUAACACAUGCAAGUCGAACGGAAAGGCCCAAGCUUGCUUGGGUACUCGAGUGGCGAACGGGUGAGUAACACGUGGGUGAACUGCCCUGCACUUCGGGAUAAGCCUGGGAAACUGGGUCUAAUACCGGAUAGGACCACGUCUUGGAUGUUGUGGUGGAAAGUUUUUUCGGUGUGGGAUGAGCUCGCGGCCUAUCAGCUUGUUGGUGGGGUAAUGGCCUACCAAGGCGUCGACGGGUAGCCGGCCUGAGAGGGUGUACGGCCACAUUGGGAGUGAGAUACGGCCCAGACUCCUACGGGAGGCAGCAGUGGGGAAUAUUGCACAAUGGGCGCAAGCCUGAUGCAGCGACGCCGCGUGGGGGAUGACGGCCUUCGGGUUGUAAACUCCUUUCGCUAGGGACGAAGCGUUUUUGUGACGGUACCUGGAGAAGAAGCACCGGCUAACUACGUG